GGUGGCUCAGUGUCGAGCGCUUGCCUUGCAUGCAGGAGGCCCUGGGUUCAAUUCCUCAGCACCA
This 64-nucleotide transfer RNA is filed under the name Dipodomys ordii (Ord's kangaroo rat). It matches the Rfam family "tRNA". From Rfam's summary of the family: Transfer RNA (tRNA) molecules are approximately 80 nucleotides in length. Lineage: Eukaryota; Metazoa; Chordata; Mammalia; Rodentia; Heteromyidae. The record is from Rfam by way of RNAcentral.